Molecule: ribosomal RNA, 312 nt
Filed under: uncultured eukaryote
Lineage: Eukaryota
Description: partial 18S ribosomal RNA
Rfam family: Eukaryotic small subunit ribosomal RNA
Source: RNAcentral
CCCUUAGAUGUUCUGGGCCGCACACGCGCUACACUGAAGGAGGCAGCGUGUACUCCUGGAUCGAAAGAUUUGGGUAACCCGCGAAUCUCCUUCGUGCUAGGGAUUGAGGUUUGCAAUUAUCCUUCAUGAACGAGGAAUUCCCAGUAAGUGCAAGUCAUAAGCUUGCGCUGACUACGUCCCUGCCCUUUGUACACACCGCCCGUCGCUACUACCGAUUGAAUGGUCCGGUGAAGCCUCGGGAUUGCGAAUGCUUCGUGCGGACGCGAGAACUUGGCUAAACCUUACCAUUUAGAGGAAGGUGAAGUCGUAACA